Long non-coding RNA from Schistocerca gregaria, 335 nucleotides. RefSeq lists it as uncharacterized. The record is from RefSeq and is a predicted model, not a curated record. The transcript is spliced from 4 exons. NCBI's taxonomy places the organism in Eukaryota, Metazoa, Arthropoda, Insecta, Orthoptera, Acrididae.
CACAGGCGCGCGGGGGAGAUGGCAGCCUCCAGGCACCUCCAGCUGCCGGCGUCUGCACUGCUCACCUUAGUGUGCUUCCGCACAGGAGCGGACGCAGCUCCGCGCAUCGUGAAUGGGACUGAGGCGGAUAUCAAGGACUACCCGUUCAUGGUGUCCGUGUGGUACCGCGGGGCCUUCAACUGCAGCGGCUCGCUGCUCAGUUCCACAUAGGUGCUCAGCGCAGCUCACUGCAUGGCGGGGGUGCAGAACGCGUCGGUGCUGUCGGUGUUGGCGGGCACGGCGACACUGAGUGGCGGCGGCCAGUGGCGCGUGGUGCGGCGAGCCGUCGGGCACGA